AUGCUCAGACUGAAGGAAGAGCCUGAUCCACUGCCUGUUUUUGUACGGUGGUUCAAUGCCUUUGUGUCACUGUGGUACACGUUUGGUGGAGGAACCAGACUGAGCGUUGGAAGUGAUGUCCGUCCCACCCUGACGGUGCUGCCCCCCUCCAGGGAGGAGCUGCAGCGGGGGACGGCCACGCUGGUGUGCCUGGCCAACAAGGGCUUCCCCUCCGACUGGAGUCUGGCCUGGAAGGUGGACGGCAGCAGCAGCAGCUGGGAGGAGAGCAGGAGCCCCGGGGUGCUGGGGGGGGGCGCCCUCUACAGCUGGAGCAGCACCCUGAGGCUCCCUGCAGACCAGUGGGCCAAGGUGGGCUCUGUGACCUGUGAGGCCACCCAGGGCUCCCAGCCUAAGCUCUCAGAGACGCUGAGGAGAGACCAGUGUUCCCAGUGAGCUGACCCACUGGGGCUCUGGUACUGGUUCAUACUGGUACUGGUUCAUACUGAUACCGGUUCAGUUUGACUGUAACUCUUUUCGUUUAUUUCUUGCUUUUAAUCACUCACUGUCUAAGUUCAUGUUUCAUUCUUAAAGUUCUGUUGAUUUUUACUAUUUUAACACAAUAAAUAACU
Pungitius pungitius (ninespine stickleback) is the source of this 608-nucleotide non-coding RNA. Lineage: Eukaryota; Metazoa; Chordata; Actinopteri; Perciformes; Gasterosteidae. The record is from the annotation of a RefSeq genome assembly.